ACGCCAAAAGCGAAAGUGCGUGCGCCUUUAAGUUUAGUAAACGACACUCCGAAAUUCCGACCGCUGGAACGUCGGUUUUAUUUUAUUUUCUAUUUUUUGCCUGAUUUUUCAACGAAUCAACUGAUUUUUUAAUUGAAAAGCUUGAU
Non-coding RNA from Caenorhabditis elegans, 146 nucleotides. NCBI's taxonomy places the organism in Eukaryota, Metazoa, Nematoda, Chromadorea, Rhabditida, Rhabditidae. The record is from Ensembl.